Molecule: ribosomal RNA, 229 nt
Filed under: uncultured Carnobacteriaceae bacterium
Lineage: Bacteria; Bacillati; Bacillota; Bacilli; Lactobacillales; Carnobacteriaceae
Description: partial 16S ribosomal RNA
Rfam family: Bacterial small subunit ribosomal RNA
Source: RNAcentral
UAACACGUUAGUAACUUGCCCAUGAGCGGGGGACAACAUUCGGAAACGGAUGCUAAUACCCCAUAGGUGGAUUGGUCGCAUGACGAAUUCAUUAAAGGUGGCUUUGCUACCACUCAUGGAUAGCCUCGCGGCGUAUUAGCUAGUUGGUAAGGUAAUGGCUUACCAAGGCAGUGAUACGUAGCCGACUUGAGAGGGUGAUCGGCCACACUGGGACUGAGACACGGCCCAG